RNAcentral lists this long non-coding RNA (915 nucleotides) under Rattus norvegicus (Norway rat). Its description in RNAcentral is "long non-coding RNA NONRATT029836". The record is from RNAcentral. Lineage: Eukaryota; Metazoa; Chordata; Mammalia; Rodentia; Muridae.
ACUCCUUUGCAAGUGCUGCAUAAAGGCAGCUUGAAACCUAUCUGAAAUUGAGAAAACUCUGCUCUCUGACAGGUAGGGGAAUCCAUCCUGGUGCUGAAGGCCUGAGACCCGUGGGCAAGAAGCCUCUCCCACCAAGGAACCCCAGCUGACCCCAAGCCAUUAUUCAGUGUUGACUGUGAGACAGCUGCAUGGAAGGGAGCUGAGGAAGAGCUGCUGGAACUGAGGCAGGCCCGAGAAAUCUACAGCGGGAACAAAGCACUCAUCACCACUGCCACCCUGUGCUAGCCCUGGAACUGGGACUGUGACAGAGUGGGGUUCAGGCUGACAAAAGAAAGAGCCCCACAGAUACAUGGCUAAUUGACUGCUGACAUAGGCACAAAGGCGUUUCAAAGGGGAAAGGAAAUUAUUUUCAAAUGUUGCUGCAGCCAUUACGAAUUCCCCCCCCCCCACGAAAGUGAGCUUCCAUCCACACUUAGAACCACAUGGAAUUUAACUCAAAAUGACUCAGAGGCCUAAAAGUUUUGAAGGACACAUGGGAGAUGUUUCAAACAUGGGAUAAGCAAAGGUUUCCCAGUCCUGAUGUCAAAAAUGUGUCUGCACCUGAGGAAAAGCAAAUUGGACGUUAUCAAAAUUAUUAGCCUUUGGCUCUUGCACAGGUAGCAUUAAAGAACUGUAAGAGAGCCAGUGAGAUGGCUCAGCAGGUAAAAGGUGCUUGCUGCUAAACCUAAUGACCUGGGUUCGAUCCCAGAACCCAGUGGUAGAAAAAAAAAAAAGACCAAAUUCAUAUAAGCUGUCCUCUGACCUCCUCCACAUGUGCUCUGUGAAACACAUGUAUGUCCACUCACUCACUCACUUAUUCACUCACUCAGAUGCACAUGUAUAAAUAAAUAAAUAAUAUAAAUAAAAAUUUUAAGG